CCUACGGGGGGCAGCAGUAGGGAAUAUUGCUCAAUGGGGGAAACCCUGAAGCAGCAACGCCGCGUGGAGGAUGAAGGUUUUCGGAUUGUAAACCCCUUUUGUCAGGGAAGAUAAUGACGGUAUCUAACGAAUAAGCACCGGCUAACUCCGUGCCAGCAGCCGCGGUAAUACGGCGGGUGCAAGCGUUACUCGGAAUCACUGGGCGUAAAGAGGGCGUAGGCGGGAUAGCAAGUCAGAUGUGAAAUCCUAUGGCUUAACCCUAGAACUGCAUUUGAAACUGUGAUUCUAGAGUAUGGGAGAGGUAGGUGGAAUGCUUGGUGUAGGGGUAAAAUGCGUAGAGAUCAAGAGGAAUACUCAUUGCGAAGGCGACCUGCUAGAGCAUAACUGACGCUGAUGCGCGAAAGCGUGGGGAGCGAACAGGAUUAGAUACCCGAGUAGUC
Molecule: ribosomal RNA, 440 nt
Filed under: uncultured bacterium
Lineage: Bacteria
Description: partial 16S ribosomal RNA
Rfam family: Bacterial small subunit ribosomal RNA
Source: RNAcentral